This 367-nucleotide long non-coding RNA is filed under the name Physcomitrium patens. RNAcentral's name for it is "long non-coding RNA (PPAT_LNC012485)". The record is from RNAcentral. Lineage: Eukaryota; Viridiplantae; Streptophyta; Bryopsida; Funariales; Funariaceae.
UGGUUGUGAAUGGACAAACCAAUCAGAUCAGACUCAAAAACGUCCUUCAUGUGCCUAAGAUGAAGCAAAACCUUUUUUCGGUGAGUAAACUUGUAAUGGAAGGUUUCAAAGUUCAAUUUGACAUGAAUGGAUAUUUUGUAAGAUCAUUGAGUGGAAACAAGGUCUUCAAAGGCUUGAAAGAUUGAAAUUUGUACUACUUCAUUUGUAAGAAGGUGAAUGGAGUAGAGGUAGCUACAUUUACUGAGUUUACAUCAAACGAAGAUAAGUUGAAUAUAUGGCAUCGUCGCCUUGGCCAUUUGAAUGUGAAGAGCAUGAAAGAGCUCAAGACCAUGGUUUGUGGCUUAGAUCCUUGCAAUACAAGCCAAAA